RNAcentral lists this non-coding RNA (29 nucleotides) under Mus musculus (house mouse). Lineage: Eukaryota; Metazoa; Chordata; Mammalia; Rodentia; Muridae. The record is from RNAcentral.
UAGCUCUGGCCCACAGAUUGAUUGAUUGA